RNAcentral lists this ribosomal RNA (512 nucleotides) under uncultured microorganism. RNAcentral's name for it is "bacterial SSU rRNA". It matches the Rfam family "Bacterial small subunit ribosomal RNA", at positions 9 to 517 of the family's 1533-position model. The record is from RNAcentral.
GAGUUUGAUCAUGGCUCAGAUUGAACGCUGGCGGCAGGCCUAACACAUGCAAGUCGAGCGGAUGAAGGGAGCUUGCUCCUGGAUUCAGCGGCGGACGGGUGAGUAAUGCCUAGGAAUCUGCCUGGUAGUGGGGGAUAACGUCCGGAAACGGGCGCUAAUACCGCAUACGUCCUGAGGGAGAAAGUGGGGAUCUUCGGACCUCACGCUAUCAGAUGAGCCUAGGUCGGAUUAGCUAGUUGGUGGGUAAAGGCCUACCAAGGCGACGAUCCGUAACUGGUCUGAGAGGAUGAUCAGUCACACUGGAACUGAGACACGGUCCAGACUCCUACGGGAGGCAGCAGUGGGGAAUAUUGGACAAUGGGCGAAAGCCUGAUCCAGCCAUGCCGCGUGUGUGAAGAAGGUCUUCGGAUUGUAAAGCACUUUAAGUUGGGAGGAAGGGCAGUAAGUUAAUACCUUGCUGUUUUGACGUUUACCAACAGAAUAAGCACCGGCUAACUUCGUGCCAGCAGCCG